AUGGCGGUACUUCCUGUUCAGAAUAAACGUGAGAAAAAUUCACUCAGAUUAUUUUGAUGACAGGUGUAACGUACGGACUUAAUGGAGGAGAAAAGCCCCACGGGAGCUCUCAAAAAAAAAAGAAUGGAGUGCCCAGCAGGAAAUGAUAAAAGACAGUGUAACACUUCAAAGAAAAACCAGACCCCAGCUCACCCAAAGAUGACAGAUGGUGGCAUGGCGGAGGUGGGAGUAAAGCCACACCAGCAAGUCUCAAGCAAGUCUCAAGUUACUGUGUUUGUGCUCCCAUUAUCCAUCUGACACUCUUCAGUCCAACAUACAAAGACAACAAAAAUCAAUACUCUUGAGGAGUGGUUGGAGGGCGUUUAUCUUUUGCGGCUGAUGAUUUGGCUGUGUGAAUUAUUCAUUGCAGAAAGCUAUGGCCUGAUGCUGGUGAGCACAGAGGAUAGGAAUAACAGCUUUUCCUUAUCACUCUUAAUCUUAGGAGCUGCAGUAAUGCAAUUCUUAACAUUUAGCACUUAAUGGUCUGUCAGAGAGGGAACAUGAUCUAAGACCAUUAGGGCUGUUUUGUGCUGAGGUUCAAAACAGGCUUUUUGCCUCUUAUCUCUGCCACUGAGCUGACUAAGGAAGCAGAAAACCAUGAAAGGUGCGAGGAAAGUCAGGUUUCGGGAUAUGAUCAGCCUAUCAAAUGGCGUUCCUCCGCUUUUUUCCUCUUUUACUUGUAAUCUAUGCAUUCACAUUGCAGUAUUGUGCAAAUACUACUGACCUGUUUCAACUGUGAAAACCUCACUUAUAGGUUUAUUGAAUAAAACAAAGACACGUUUUCUU
This is a long non-coding RNA of Seriola aureovittata, 825 nucleotides long. RefSeq lists it as uncharacterized. The transcript has 4 exons. The record is from RefSeq and is a predicted model, not a curated record. Lineage: Eukaryota; Metazoa; Chordata; Actinopteri; Carangiformes; Carangidae.